This 450-nucleotide ribosomal RNA is filed under the name uncultured bacterium. RNAcentral describes it as "partial 16S ribosomal RNA". It matches the Rfam family "Bacterial small subunit ribosomal RNA", at positions 354 to 796 of the family's 1533-position model. The record is from RNAcentral.
GUGGGGAAUCUUCCGCAAUGGACGAAAGUCUGACGGAGCGACGCCGCGUGAGUGAAGAAGGCCUUCGGGUCGUAAAGCUCUGUCAUCAGGGACGAACGGCCGGUGGAGUGGAAAGCCACCGGAUUGACGGUACCUGAGAAGGAAGCCACGGCUAACUACGUGCCAGCAGCCGCGGUAAUACGUAGGUGGCAAGCGUUGUCCGGAAUGAUUGGGCGUAAAGCGCGCGCAGGUGGGAUCUUAAGUCCAUUCUGAAAGUUCGGAGCUCAACUCCGUGAUGGGAUGGAAACUGCGAUUCUUGAGGACCGGAGAGGAAAGCGGAAUUCCCCGUGUACCGGUGGAAUGCGUAGAUAUGGGGCGGAACACCAGUGGCGAAGGCGGCUUUCUGGACGGUGUCUGACACUGAGGCGCGAAAGCUAGGGGAGCGAACGGGAUUAGAAACCCCGGUAGUCC